Molecule: ribosomal RNA, 620 nt
Filed under: Colletotrichum nymphaeae
Lineage: Eukaryota; Fungi; Ascomycota; Sordariomycetes; Glomerellales; Glomerellaceae
Description: partial large subunit ribosomal RNA
Rfam family: Eukaryotic large subunit ribosomal RNA
Source: RNAcentral
ACCCGCUGAAUUUAAGCAUAUCAAUAAGCGGAGGAAAAGAAACCAACAGGGAUUGCCCCAGUAACGGCGAGUGAAGCGGCAACAGCUCAAAUUUGAAAUCUGGCCCCAGGCCCGAGUUGUAAUUUGCAGAGGAUGCUUUUGGCGCGGUGCCUUCCGAGUUCCCUGGAACGGGACGCCAUAGAGGGUGAGAGCCCCGUACGGUUGGACACCAAGCCUUUGUAAAGCUCCUUCGACGAGUCGAGUAGUUUGGGAAUGCUGCUCUAAAUGGGAGGUACAUUUCUUCUAAAGCUAAAUAUUGGCCAGAGACCGAUAGCGCACAAGUAGAGUGAUCGAAAGAUGAAAAGCACUUUGAAAAGAGGGUUAAACAGCACGUGAAAUUGUUAAAAGGGAAGCGCUUGUGACCAGACUUGCGUCCGGUGAAUCACCCAGCUCUCGCGGCUGGGGCACUUCGCCGGCACAGGCCAGCAUCAGCUUGCCGUCGGGGACAAAAGCUUCAGGAACGUGGCUCCUCUCGGGGAGUGUUAUAGCCUGUUGCAUAAUACCCUUCGGCGGGCUGAGGUACGCGCUCCGCAAGGAUGCUGGCGUAAUGGUCAUCAGCGACCCGUCUUGAAAACACGGAA